This 407-nucleotide unclassified non-coding RNA is filed under the name fungal sp. Its description in RNAcentral is "partial internal transcribed spacer region". The stretch from base 1 to 46 matches the Rfam family "Eukaryotic small subunit ribosomal RNA", at positions 1786 to 1831 of the family's 1831-position model. The record is from RNAcentral. Lineage: Eukaryota; Fungi.
AAGUCGUAACAAGGUUUCCGUAGGUGAACCUGCGGAAGGAUCAUUAACACGUAUCCAAACGUUAAAACAACCCUGUGAAUAUUAACGCGUGUUCUUCCAGGCAACUAAAACAGCAAUCUCUCGUAAAACAGGCGCUAAAGAAUUACAGAUAUUGAUUUGAGAGAUUUCUGUCACGUACGUUCGACGCUGGAAUCGAGCACUAGAUAAAGCACCCUGGUACCCUCUGAUUUAUCACCAAUGUCUGCAAGUGUCCAGUGAUGGUCAGGGGUAACGCAGUCAACGAUCGCUGUAGGUCCACACGACCGGGGACCGGGUGGAGGCGAAAGCCCCUACGUCCCUCCGGGACUUGGCGAAAGCUGACUCCGUUAUAAAUCGAACAACUGUUGACAAUGGAUAUCUUGGUUCUC